UGACUGAUGGUGUAAUGGCAGCACAACUGGUUUUGGUCCAGUUAGUCUAGGUUCGAAUCCUUGUCAGUCAA
RNAcentral lists this transfer RNA (71 nucleotides) under Bacteroidales bacterium. RNAcentral describes it as "tRNA-Gln". It matches the Rfam family "tRNA". From Rfam's summary of the family: Transfer RNA (tRNA) molecules are approximately 80 nucleotides in length. The record is from RNAcentral. Lineage: Bacteria; Pseudomonadati; Bacteroidota; Bacteroidia; Bacteroidales.